This 820-nucleotide long non-coding RNA is filed under the name Homo sapiens (human). RNAcentral's name for it is "non-protein coding lnc-HIVEP1-2:2". Lineage: Eukaryota; Metazoa; Chordata; Mammalia; Primates; Hominidae. The record is from RNAcentral.
CCAGAUAAGAGAAUAAAAGCAGGCUGCCCCAGCCAGCAGUGGCAACCCGCUGAGGUCAAGCUUCGUUUUUUUUGCUUUUUACAAUAAGUGUUGCUACUGCUCAGUCUUUGAGUCCACGCUACUUUUAUGAGCUGUAACACUCACUACAAAGGUCUGCAGCUUCACUCUUGAAGCCAGCGAGACCACUGAGCUCACCGGGAGGAACAAACAACUCCGGACGCACUGUCUUAAGAGCUAUAACACCGCCAAGGUCUGCAUCUUCACUUCUGAGCCAGCGAGACCACGAACCCACCAGAAGGAAGAAACUCGGAACACAUCUGAAUAUCAGAAGGAACAGACUCCAGACGCGCCACCUCAAGAGCUGUAACACUCACGGCGAGGGUCCGCGGCUUCAUUCUUGAGGGCAAAAUCUUUUUCCCUUGAAGACUGGAAAUAUUAUCCAUGUUGUCCUCCGGAAUAUUUUCAAUGACUUGUGCCCUGCCAGCUCUAGCUUUUGAAGGGUCUACACUCAUCAUCAACAGAUUCUGGGGGUUCAUGCACAGAUUUCUUACCUGGGUAUAUUGUGUGAUGCUGAGCUUUGGAGUUCAACUGAUUUCAUCACCCAGAAGAACAACCAGAGAAAGCCAAGUAUGCACCUGAUGCCCCACUUCCAGUGAGCCGCCUCCAGCUUCCCACGCCAACAGCUUCCAAUCAGCACACUUUCGGAGCCUUCCCUUUUCUCCACGAUGAAAGCUUCCCCACUCCUCUGACUGCCUUUGAGCCUCUGCCAAAACUCAAGUGAUGGUAGCCGACUCCCUGCUACCGCAAGCUUGGAAUAAAC